GAUGAACGCUAGCGACAGGCUUAACACAUGCAAGUCGAGGGUCAGCACAGGUAGCAAUACCGGGUGGCGACCGGCGCACGGGUGAGUAACGCGUAUGCAACUUACCUAUCAGAGGGGGAUAACCCGGCGAAAGUCGGACUAAUACCGCAUGAAGCAGGGGCCCCGCAUGGGGAUAUUUGCUAAAGAUUCAUCGCUGAUAGAUAGGCAUGCGUUCCAUUAGGCAGUUGGCGGGGUAACGGCCCACCAAACCGACGAUGGAUAGGGGUUCUGAGAGGAAGGUCCCCCACAUUGGUACUGAGACACGGACCAAACUCCUACGGGAGGCAGCAGUGAGGAAUAUUGGUCAAUGGCCGAGAGGCUGAACCAGCCAAGUCGCGUGAGGGAUGAAGGUUCUAUGGAUCGUAAACCUCUUUUAUAAGGGAAUAAAGUGCGGGACGUGUCCCGUUUUGUAUGUACCUUAUGAAUAAGGAUCGGCUAACUCCGUGCCAGCAGCCGCGGUAAUACGGAGGAUCCGAGCGUUAUCCGGAUUUAUUGGGUUUAAAGGGUGCGUAGGCGGCCUUUUAAGUCAGCGGUGAAAGUCUGUGGCUCAACCAUAGAAUUGCCGUUGAAACUGGGGGGCUUGAGUAUGUUUGAGGCAGGCGGAAUGCGUGGUGUAGCGGUGAAAUGCAUAGAUAUCACGCAGAACCCCGAUUGCGAAGGCAGCCUGCCAAGCCAUUACUGACGCUGAUGCACGAAAGCGUGGGGAUCAAACAGGAAUAGAUACCCUGGUAGUCCACGCAGUAAACGAUGAUCACUAGCUGUUUGGGAUACACUGUAAGCGGCACAGCGAAAGCGUUAAGUGAUCCACCUGGGGAGUACGCCGGCAACGGUGAAACUCAAAGGAAUUGACGGGGGCCCGCACAAGCGGAGGAACAUGUGGUUUAAUUCGAUGAUACGCGAGGAACCUUACCCGGGUUUGAACGCAUUCGGACCGAGGUGGAAACACCUUUUCUAGCAAUAGCCGUUUGCGAGGUGCUGCAUGGUUGUCGUCAGCUCGUGCCGUGAGGUGUCGGCUUAAGUGCCAUAACGAGCGCAACCCUUGCCACUAGUUACUAACAGGUAAAGCUGAGGACUCUGGUGGGACUGCCAGCGUAAGCUGCGAGGAAGGCGGGGAUGACGUCAAAUCAGCACGGCCCUUACAUCCGGGGCGACACACGUGUUACAAUGGCGUGGACAAAGGGAAGCCACCUGGCGACAGGGAGCGAAUCCCCAAACCACGUCUCAGUUCGGAUCGGAGUCUGCAACCCGACUCCGUGAAGCUGGAUUCGCUAGUAAUCGCGCAUCAGCCAUGGCGCGGUGAAUACGUUCCCGGGCCUUGUACACACCGCCCGUCAAGCCAUGGGAGCCGGGGGUACCAGAAGUCCGUAACCGCGAGGAUCGGCCUAGGGUAAAACUGG
Molecule: ribosomal RNA, 1436 nt
Filed under: uncultured organism
Description: 16S ribosomal RNA
Rfam family: Bacterial small subunit ribosomal RNA
Source: RNAcentral